RNAcentral lists this ribosomal RNA (207 nucleotides) under Escherichia coli. RNAcentral's name for it is "partial 16S ribosomal RNA". It matches the Rfam family "Bacterial small subunit ribosomal RNA", at positions 1 to 215 of the family's 1533-position model. The record is from RNAcentral. Lineage: Bacteria; Pseudomonadati; Pseudomonadota; Gammaproteobacteria; Enterobacterales; Enterobacteriaceae.
AAAUUGAAGAGUUUGAUCAUGGCUCAGAUUGAACGCUGACGGCAGGCCUAACACAUGCAAGUCGAACGGUAACAGGAAGCAGCUUGCUGCUUCGCUGACGAGUGGCGGACGGGUGAGUAAUGUCUGGGAAACUGCCUGAUGGAGGGGGAUAACUACUGGAAACGGUAGCUAAUACCGCAUAACGUCGCAAGACCAAAGAGGGGGACC